GACAGAGGGGGCAAGCGUUGCUCGGAAUUACUGGGCGUAAAGGGCGCGUAGGCGGGAUGGCAAGUCGGUCGUGAAAUCCUUCGGCUCAACCGAAGAACGUCGAUCGAUACUGCUGUUCUUGAGGAUUGCAGAGGAGACUGGAAUUCCCGGUGUAGCGGUGAAAUGUGUAGAGAUCGGGAGGAACACCGGUGGCGAAGGCGGGUCUCUGGGCAGUAACUGACGCUGAGGAGCGAAAGCGUGGGGAGCGAACAGG
This 253-nucleotide ribosomal RNA is filed under the name uncultured bacterium. RNAcentral's name for it is "partial 16S ribosomal RNA". It matches the Rfam family "Bacterial small subunit ribosomal RNA", at positions 524 to 776 of the family's 1533-position model. The record is from RNAcentral.